Molecule: microRNA precursor, 88 nt
Filed under: Eptesicus fuscus (big brown bat)
Lineage: Eukaryota; Metazoa; Chordata; Mammalia; Chiroptera; Vespertilionidae
Description: microRNA efu-mir-9319 precursor
Source: miRBase by way of RNAcentral
UGACUUCUGGAGCAGAGCUAGUGGCCUGAGGUCCCAUGGAGGCUUAGAGACCCCACCCACCAGCCCAGUCCCUGUUCCCAGAGUAGGC